CCUACGGGGGGCAGCAGUAGGGAAUAUUGCUCAAUGGGGGAAACCCUGAAGCAGCAACGCCGCGUGGAGGAUGAAGGUUUUCGGAUUGUAAACUCCUUUUGUUAGAGAAGAUAAUGACGGUAUCUAACGAAUAAGCACCGGCUAACUCCGUGCCAGCAGCCGCGGUAAUACGGAGGGUGCAAGCGUUACUCGGAAUCACUGGGCGUAAAGAGCGCGUAGGCGGGAUAGCAAGUCAGAUGUGAAAUCCGAUGGCUUAACCAUAGAACUGCAUUUGAAACUGUUAUUCUAGAGUAUGGGAGAGGUAGGUGGAAUUCUUGGUGUAGGGGUAAAAUCCGUAGAGAUCAAGAGGAAUACUCAUUGCGAAGGCGACCUACUAGAACAUAACUGACGCUGAUGCGCGAAAGCGUGGGGAGCAAACAGGAUUAGAUACCCGGGUAGUC
RNAcentral lists this ribosomal RNA (440 nucleotides) under uncultured bacterium. Its description in RNAcentral is "partial 16S ribosomal RNA". It matches the Rfam family "Bacterial small subunit ribosomal RNA", at positions 338 to 795 of the family's 1533-position model. The record is from RNAcentral.